Long non-coding RNA from Ricinus communis (castor bean), 2724 nucleotides. RefSeq lists it as uncharacterized. The transcript is spliced from 2 exons. Lineage: Eukaryota; Viridiplantae; Streptophyta; Magnoliopsida; Malpighiales; Euphorbiaceae. The record is from RefSeq and is a predicted model, not a curated record.
UUUUUAAAGAAAAUAUAACUUAUUCUGCUUUGUUAAAAAUCAAAUUUUAAAGAGCAGCUUAAAAACAAGAAGGAAGAAAGGGGGAAUAAUAAAAGCCAAAAACAGGUGAGAACAAAUUGGGCACUGGAGAAGUUCAGAAUUGACCAGUUUAUCUUCCAUUGAGAUUGGGUUGCCACAUAUUCAACAAAUGUUUAUUAAAUGAUCCAUAUCCGAAAUUCUAGUACAAGGGUCCUCAGGGCUGCAACUUCUGUUGAAAGGCAUGUAGAGUUCUUGUUCUUAUUCAUUAAAUCCAAUUUGUUUCCUCUCUUUCUCUUUUGUUGAUCGCAAAUUCUGUUAAGGAUGUUUAUGGAGGAUGCAUUGAAUGGCCUUUAAGUAAUUCCAAGAGACUAGAUAGAGCAGCUCCAACCACAAAUCUCUGCAAAUUUUGAUCCCUCAUUAUUCAUCUAUAUUUUAUUUUAUUUUUUCUCUGCUUAAAUAUAUCCAGAAUCAUCAAUGAAAAUACAUUUCAACUACCAGAAAUUGACCACCACUUGCACUUUUAUCAUUUCAUACAGAGUAAUGAGAUGAUACUGAUGUUUUCCUGUACACCCAGCUUUACUGAUGUCUAGCUUACUUGCACGAAACUGCAGAUAUAAGGUCAGUUAAAGCAAAGAGACAUGCUCGUAAUUAGAAAUCAUACUUGAAACAACUCUUUUGGAUCAUGCAACUCCUUUGGAUCAUUACUGGAAGCAAAACAUGAACAUUUCAAGUCUACAUUGAAGUAUCUUGCCUAGAAGCUGUGCAUAUACAACUAAUUAUCAUAGACUUUAUAAAGUUUAUACAUGACAGUUGAAGACUCCAAAAUGUUGGUAUAUGCCUGUGCAACUCCAGCUUUAUAGGCUAUUGUGCUUGCUCACCUUGAAGAAAAGAAAAACAUAUCAAUUAGUUAAUGCAUUGCAAAGGAUUAAUGCAGUUUUGAGACUUCAGUUUUUCAAUCACUUAUAUACCAAAAUGUUGCGGUUAAAACUGCAUCAUAGCAAAAAUAUGUAGGACUUGCAGAGAAGUAACCAUAAAAUGAAGAAGACUGAAUAAAAAUUUCCACCAAAUCCUUUAUUUCAUAAAACAUUAAAACUUGAUUUCAGUUUUAGUCACUGCUAGUAGUGAAGCCCCUCACUGACUCCCAAACUUUGACACAUAUAAAGGUUGAUCACCAGUCCUUUGUUGGAGGGAGGUAAAAAUACAAAAACAUCCAGGUCAAUCCAGCUCUAGGUGAGAAAAUCAGAUUAGGGGUGGUCAUUAAUAUCUUAAUGAUAGGAAAAAAAAUCAAGGUUUUCUCCUCAGACAAGAGGAUGUCAGAGAAGGAGGAGUUCUUAGAUGUAUAAACUGUUUUGCCUUCUUAUGAGACCGAGGAUACUUUCAAAGUUUACAAGUAAACUGGAAAAAAUCCUCAAAUUUUUCCCAGGUCUACCGUCCUAAGUUCCAACAUAUGUAGAAGAACCAAUGCAUCAAUAAAGGACAUCAAGCUGCAAAAUUAGCAAAUUAAAAGUAUCUUAGGAAGGCAGAAUAAAUUCUUGCGCAAGUCAUGCUCUUUAUGCUGGAUAUCUGAAUGCUCAACAAGCAAAAUAGCAGGCUAAGGCAAAGAACAGAAGAAAGCCACUCACUAAUCAGCUAGUUUGGUGCUCUCUAAAUACGAAUCUAAACUUUGAAGAGCCAUUGUUGAAUAUACUUCCAACGUUUAUAUCAAUUCCUCAAUAUAGACAUGUCAAAUAUAGAAAAAUGCUUCUUGGCACUUCUAUAAGCCAUAGUUUUGAAGAGAAUUUUACAUCAAAUUCCUGUUGCACCUCCUAGAUGAUAGAAAUGCUCAAAACUUCCAGAAAUAAGGCAAUACCACCAAGACGACUGACUAUUAGGCAAUUGUGUGUGCCUGGGUGGUGUGCACUGUAUAACGGAUGGAGGCUCGUUAAGACACAAGCAUACAGAGCUGCAAAUGAACAGAGUACAGGUGGUGCAGGAAAGUGCAGAGAUUCAAGAACAUGCCAUGUUAGGAUCAAGUAUCACAAUGAUACAGAGGAGGAUUAGAGUAACAAAGACAUUAGAGAGAAACACCAGGAGAGAGUGGAUGCAAAGAGCCAAUAGAUACCUACCUCAAGUUUAUGAGAAGCAUCUAUAGGCAAGGCUAUGUGUGGCUAAGCAUGUGUUCAUACAUUAAAAGUAAAAAAGCUUGGACAUAUUUUCAUUGCAUUUCUCUUUCUUAGAAACACAGCAGUUUCACCAAUUUGACUUGUUUCUUCGUAGAGGCUUCACGCCUAUUUGCUUGGUCUUUUGUACAGGUCAGCUAUUAUUGAUUGACCUUGUCAACUAAGUGAAGCACUGAUUGACCUCAGCCUCCUAGCUCUCUUGGCCCACAAUCUACAGAAGUGCAAACUUGAGACGUCGUGACAUGAUCAGUGCAUUGAUCCAUGUAAUGCCCAUGUCCCGCAGUUUAAUUGACUAUUAGGUGGACAGGGGAAGGAGCUGGCAUGAUUCUAUUUUAACAAAUUUAGAAGGUGAAGUGUGAUUAUUUCCAACUUACUAUCGGUUUCCUCCAGCACCGGUGUAGAUGAGUCAACUGAGAAUCCCAACUUUAGCAUGACUUCUUCCAAACGAGUUACAUCUGUCAAGUACAAGUAACCAACCUACAAAAUGUUUUGCAAUUAGAAUCCAGCCAAGAACAGAUUUUUAUAUCAUGAUUGAGGAGUUUCUCAA